This 545-nucleotide long non-coding RNA is filed under the name Volvox carteri. RNAcentral's name for it is "long non-coding RNA (VCAR_LNC003763)". Lineage: Eukaryota; Viridiplantae; Chlorophyta; Chlorophyceae; Chlamydomonadales; Volvocaceae. The record is from RNAcentral.
UGUGCGUGCGCUGUGGGAUAAGGCACAGGCGAUGCUGGAGAAAGACCUUGCUGCUGCUGGGCCUGAUGGGCCCGUCACUUACAGCACCGCUGUCCUGCUCAUGCAUGCGCUGCUGGCGGAGAUGAUAUCUGGUGUCUACAUUCCGCCUGUCCGCUUGUCCGUGUUGAGCACCUUGAUGGUGCCAGGCAUGCAGACCUGCAAGCAGCAAGACUGCUUCCAGAUGGACUGCCGCGGCAACAACCUGGUCGAGGUGAUUCCUGUAGCAAGGGCAGGGGCAGGGGCGGAUGGCAGCCAUGGCGCUAGCAGCAGCAGCAGCAGGAGCAGCAGCAGCAGGGGCCGUCGUCUUGUGAUGGAGACCAUCCAUCACAAGACGGAGCGCUUUAAGAAGGAUGAGGCCCUGAGAAUUGUGCUCCCUUCGACGCUCUCCCAGCACAUCCGGACUUACACAGAGUAUGCCCGGCCAGCGCUCCUCAACAUGAAUCCCAGCAUUGACGAUGCCAGCAAGGAGCCUCCCUUCCUGUUCCUUGACAGGAAGGGCAGGCCGG